GCAGUCCCAGAAUAUUAGUCAAUGCUCGAAAGAGUGAACUAGCUAACUGAAAUCAAUAAUAAAAAAUUGAUAACAUAAGGGAAAAUAAUGAUAUUACCUUAUUAUUAGUGUCGUCCAAAACUCGGUGCCAGAAGACUCGGUAAGGCCAGAGACAUAAACGUUAAUCGUCUUAAUCAGGCGUAAAGGGUUUGUAGGCGGCUUUAAAAUUUACUAAAAAAUAAAUAAAAUAAUAAGUAAAGAAUAAAAGCUAGAAUCAAAUAGAGGAUAUAUGAAAGAAUGCUUAGAGUAGGUCUGAUAUCCUUAGAUACUAAGUAGAAUAUUAAAGGCGAAAGCUUUUUUCCAUUAAUGAUUGACGCUCAGAAACGAAGGUGAGGAUAGGAAAUAGGAUUAGAUACCCAGAAUACCCCUCUCUGUCAACGAUGAAUGGUAGUUAUUAGUAAAAAUUUAUUAAUGGCAAUGUUAACACGAUAACCAUUCCGCCUUGUGAGUACAACUGCAAAGUUGAAAACAAAAAAAUUAGUCGGUUUCGGAGCAAACGAAGUGAAGCAUGUUAUUUAAUUCGAUAAAUUCCGCAA
Molecule: ribosomal RNA, 575 nt
Filed under: Russula sp.
Lineage: Eukaryota; Fungi; Basidiomycota; Agaricomycetes; Russulales; Russulaceae
Description: SSU rRNA
Rfam family: Bacterial small subunit ribosomal RNA
Source: RNAcentral